UUGUUUAUUAUAAGGCAACUUCCUCAUAUGCUCUGUGACUUGUUUUUUUUCUUCAGUCGGUUUGGACAUAGCAAUAAUUUUAUCAGCACCAUAUCCCAUGAAACAGAUGUCAUAAUUCAUGGCCAGGAAGGGUGGCCAGGGGAGGCCUCGCUGUGAAGCAAAGGAUGGAUCUGGUAAAAAGGAUACACAUCAUGGGACAGCAGAGCAAAGGUCUUACCCAGAGGGUCCGGACUGUCCAGGAGCAGCAGGGAGGCCAGUGUUGUUGGAGCCCAUGGACAGGAGGAGUCACUGUAGGGAAGGCGUAAGGAAGGGAGGUAAGAGCAGCCAGAAAAGAAAUACUGAGAAUAGAAGGUUGAACCGAGUGACAUGGAAAUCUUCCCUUAGCCUAAGAAGAACAGUUUCUGCCGAGUUGUGGGGACAAGAGCAUGGGAGGAGUGGGCUCAACAGUAAAUUGGGGAGGAGACAGGAAUAGUAGGCAGAGAUGCAUCAG
Molecule: long non-coding RNA, 490 nt
Filed under: Pan paniscus (pygmy chimpanzee)
Lineage: Eukaryota; Metazoa; Chordata; Mammalia; Primates; Hominidae
Description: lncRNA (ENSPPAG00000045587.1)
Source: RNAcentral